GUGUCAGCCGCCGCGGUAAUACGGAAGGUCCGGGCGUUAUCCGGAUUUAUUGGGUUUAAAGGGAGCGUAGGCGGACUUUCAAGUCAGUGGUAAAAUCGUGUGGCUCAACCAUACCUCGCCAUUGAAACUGGAAGUCUUGAGUGCACGCAGGGGUGCCGGAAUUCAUGGUGUAGCGGUGAAAUGCUUAGAUAUCAUGAAGAACUCCGAUCGCGAAGGCAAGUGCCCGGAGUGCAACUGACGCUGAGGCUCGAAGGUGCGGGUAUCGAACAGGAUUAGAUACCCUGGUAGUCCGCACGGUAAACGAUGGACACUCGCGGUGCGAUCAGUAUGAUUGCGUCGCUUAGCGAAAGCGUUAAGUGUCCCACCUGGGGAGUACGCCGGCAACGGUGAA
This 391-nucleotide ribosomal RNA is filed under the name uncultured bacterium. RNAcentral describes it as "bacterial SSU rRNA". It matches the Rfam family "Bacterial small subunit ribosomal RNA", at positions 505 to 898 of the family's 1533-position model. The record is from RNAcentral.